UGGGGAAUUUUGGACAAUGGGCGAAAGCCUGAUCCAGCAAUGCCGCGUGUGUGAAGAAGGCCUUCGGGUUGUAAAGCACUUUUGUCCGGAAAGAAAUCCUUGGCUCUAAUACAGUCGGGGGAUGACGGUACCGGAAGAAUAAGCACCGGCUAACUACGUGCCAGCAGCCGCGGUAAUACGUAGGGUGCAAGCGUUAAUCGGAAUUACUGGGCGUAAAGCGUGCGCAGGCGGUUUGCUAAGACCGAUGUGAAAUCCCCGGGCUCAACCUGGGAACUGCAUUGGUGACUGGCAGGCUAGAGUAUGGCAGAGGGGGGUAGAAUUCCACGUGUAGCAGUGAAAUGCGUAGAGAUGUGGAGGAAUACCGAUGGCGAAGGCAGCCCCCUGGGCCAAUACUGACGCUCAUGCACGAAAGCGUGGGGAGCAAACAGGAUUAGAUACCCUGGUAGUCCACGCCCUAAAACGAUGUCAACUAGUUGUUGGGGAUUCAUUUCCUUAGUAACGUAGCUAACGCGUGAAGUUGACCGCCUGGGGAGUACGGGUCGCAAGAUUAAAACUUAAAUGAAUUGACGGGGUCAUAGCUGUUUCCU
Molecule: ribosomal RNA, 587 nt
Filed under: uncultured bacterium
Lineage: Bacteria
Description: partial 16S ribosomal RNA
Rfam family: Bacterial small subunit ribosomal RNA
Source: RNAcentral